This 582-nucleotide long non-coding RNA is filed under the name Manihot esculenta (cassava). RNAcentral's name for it is "long non-coding RNA (MESC_LNC000614)". The record is from RNAcentral. Lineage: Eukaryota; Viridiplantae; Streptophyta; Magnoliopsida; Malpighiales; Euphorbiaceae.
UUUGCUUAGGAAUCGCCUUGCCUUAAUUCAGUCUGUCUUAUCGGGUUUACCAGUACUGCGCUCGUUUUCUUGAGAUCGGCAUGAUGCUUUGGUACUUUUGGCUGUUGUGUGAGAUUAAAGUCUCUCUAUCUGAUGACUUGAGCUCCUUUGGGAGGUCGGAGUUUAGCUUUUUCAUUUAUGGUCCCGUGCCCCAAUCUUUUAUGUGAUAUCAGAACUAUGUUCUUUAUGAGUUGUUUUUGCUUGUUGCACCGGAUGAUCUUGGGGAUUCUGGCUAUUUUUGCUCCGGGAGAUCUUUGAGAUCUUUGCCGGUCUUCUACCUCAGUGAGGUCUUCUGCCUCAUUGAGGUCUUCUGCCUCAUUGAGGUUUUCUGCCUCUUUGAGGUCUUCUGCCUCUUUGAGAUCUUCUGCCUCUUUGAGGUCUUCUGCCUCUUUGAGGUCUUCUGCCUCUUUUGAGGUCUUCUGCCUCUUUGAGGUCUUCUGCCUCUUUGAGGUCUUCUGCCUCUUUGAGGUCUUCUGCCUCAUUGAGGUCUUCUGCCUCAUUGAGGUCUUCUGCCUCUUUGAGGUCUUCUGCCUCAUUGAGGUC